This 1194-nucleotide ribosomal RNA is filed under the name 'Polygonum aviculare' phytoplasma. Its description in RNAcentral is "bacterial SSU rRNA". It matches the Rfam family "Bacterial small subunit ribosomal RNA", at positions 179 to 1373 of the family's 1533-position model. Lineage: Bacteria; Bacillati; Mycoplasmatota; Mollicutes; Acholeplasmatales; Acholeplasmataceae. The record is from RNAcentral.
GACAAGAAGGCAUCUUCUUGUUUUUAAAAGACCUAGCAAUAGGUAUGCUUAGGGAGGAGCUUGCGUCACAUUAGUUAGUUGGUGGGGUAAAGGCCUACCAAGACUAUGAUGUGUAGCCGGGCUGAGAGGUUGAACGGCCACAUUGGGACUGAGACACGGCCCAAACUCCUACGGGAGGCAGCAGUAGGGAAUUUUCGGCAAUGGAGGAAACUCUGACCGAGCAACGCCGCGUGAACGAUGAAGUAUUUCGGUACGUAAAGUUCUUUUAUUAGGGAAGAAUAAAUGAUGGAAAAAUCAUUCUGACGGUACCUAAUGAAUAAGCCCCGGCUAACUAUGUGCCAGCAGCCGCGGUAAUACAUAGGGGGCAAGCGUUAUCCGGAAUUAUUGGGCGUAAAGGGUGCGUAGGCGGUUAAAUAAGUUUAUGGUCUAAGUGCAAUGCUCAACAUUGUGAUGCUAUAAAAACUGUUUAGCUAGAGUAAGAUAGAGGCAAGUGGAAUUCCAUGUGUAGUGGUAAAAUGCGUAAAUAUAUGGAGGAACACCAGUAGCGAAGGCGGCUUGCUGGGUCUUUACUGACGCUGAGGCACGAAAGCGUGGGGAGCAAACAGGAUUAGAUACCCUGGUAGUCCACGCCGUAAACGAUGAGUACUAAACGUUGGGUAAAACCAGUGUUGAAGUUAACACAUUAAGUACUCCGCCUGAGUAGUACGUACGCAAGUAUGAAACUUAAAGGAAUUGACGGGACUCCGCACAAGCGGUGGAUCAUGUUGUUUAAUUCGAAGGUACCCGAAAAACCUCACCAGGUCUUGACAUGCUUCUGCAAAGCUGUAGAAACACAGUGGAGGUUAUCAGUUGCACAGGUGGUGCAUGGUUGUCGUCAGCUCGUGUCGUGAGAUGUUGGGUUAAGUCCCGCAACGAGCGCAACCCUUAUUGUUAGUUACCAGCACGUAAUGGUGGGGACUUUAGCAAGACUGCCAGUGAUAAAUUGGAGGAAGGUGGGGACGACGUCAAAUCAUCAUGCCCCUUAUGACCUGGGCUACAAACGUGAUACAAUGGCUGUUACAAAGGGUAGCUGAAGCGCAAGUUUUUGGCGAAUCUCAAAAAAACAGUCUCAGUUCGGAUUGAAGUCUGCAACUCGACUUCAUGAAGUUGGAAUCGCUAGUAAUCGCGAAUCAGCAUGUCGCGGUGAAUACGUUC